UUUCUACACAUGCGCACGGUUGGACAGGCCUCCUUCCUUCUCUCCUAACGCCGCCAAGAUGGUGUUCAGGCGCUUCGUAGAGGUUGGCCGGGUGGCCUACGUCUCCUUCGGACCUCAUGCCGGAAAAUUGGUCGCAAUUGUAGAUGUUAUUGAUCAGAACAGGGUAAGUGUCACAACUUUUUACUAAACACGGCAGUGGACAUGUGCCCUGCAGAUGGCAAUAAUGAAUUGUCUCGAUGGCUGUGUAAGAUGAGGAUGCUAUGGGUAGUCGCUUUAUUUUACCAUUGAGGAAACAGGUAAUGGUAAGGGUUUUAAGCACAGCCUUAAGUUAGCUAUUAGUAUUGAAUUUUAAUAUUAGCCACUUAAGCUAGAGCCAGUUAUGGGCUGAAACGUUGGUUAGUUUUAAAUUAGUUACUAUACGUAAAGUGAGUUUAGAACAGAUCCAGCACAUAGAAAGCAUUUUUGUAUUUUCUGCUGUGUAUUUGAAACAAGCAAACUAAGGAGUUGACCACUGACUAUAAAUCAACAGGGAUCAGAGUCCUAAAGUUGCCUGUAAAUUACAUGUGGUUGGUUUCUAUGGGGUACUAAUAGUUUAAGAAGGAGCAUUUAAUGAUGUGGAGAAAUGUUUGUGUUGAGCAAAAGACGUAAAUAUAUAUGACCCAGAUAGGACAAUCCUUGUCUUUUCUGAGCAAUUUAUUAAAAUAGUAGUGUGGGUUUGAUGGCCCUGAACGGAUAAGUAAUGUUACAGAACCAUCUGACCAUUUUAAUUGCUGUUAGAUUUUGCACU
Molecule: small RNA, 787 nt
Filed under: Pongo abelii (Sumatran orangutan)
Lineage: Eukaryota; Metazoa; Chordata; Mammalia; Primates; Hominidae
Description: retained intron
Source: RNAcentral